AUGAACGCUGGCGGCGUGCCUAAUACAUGCAAGUCGAGCGAACGGACGAGAAGCUUGCUUUUCUGAUGUUAGCGGCGGACGGGUGAGUAACACGUGGAUAACCUACCUAUAAGACUGGGAUAACUUCGGGAAACCGGAGCUAAUACCGGAUAAUAUUUUGAACCGCAUGGUUCAAAAGUGAAAGACGGUCUUGCUGUCACUUAUAGAUGGAUCCGCGCUGCAUUAGCUAGUUGGUAAGGUAACGGCUUACCAAGGCAACGAUGCAUAGCCGACCUGAGAGGGUGAUCGGCCACACUGGAACUGAGACACGGUCCAGACUCCUACGGGAGGCAGCAGUAGGGAAUCUUCCGCAAUGGGCGAAAGCCUGACGGAGCAACGCCGCGUGAGUGAUGAAGGUCUUCGGAUCGUAAGACUCUGUUAUUAGGGAAGAACAUAUGUGUAAGUAACUGUGCACAUCUUGACGGUACCUAAUCAGAAAGCCACGGCUAACUACGUG
Molecule: ribosomal RNA, 496 nt
Filed under: uncultured bacterium
Lineage: Bacteria
Description: partial 16S ribosomal RNA
Rfam family: Bacterial small subunit ribosomal RNA
Source: RNAcentral